Molecule: ribosomal RNA, 492 nt
Filed under: uncultured bacterium
Lineage: Bacteria
Description: partial 16S ribosomal RNA
Rfam family: Bacterial small subunit ribosomal RNA
Source: RNAcentral
GGUGAACGCUGGCGGUAGGCCUAACACAUGCAAGUCGAACGGCAGCACAGUAAGAGCUUGCUCUUACGGGUGGCGAGUGGCGGACGGGUGAGGAAUACAUCGGAAUCUACUUUUUCGUGGGGGAUAACGUAGGGAAACUUACGCUAAUACCGCAUAAGACCUACGGGUGAAAGCAGGGGAUCUUCGGACCUUGCGCGAUUGAAUGAGCCGAUGUCGGAUUAGCUAGUUGGCGGGGUAAAGGCCCACCAAGGCGACGAUCCGUAGCUGGUCUGAGAGGAUGAUCAGCCACACUGGAACUGAGACACGGUCCAGACUCCUACGGGAGGCAGCAGUGGGGAAUAUUGGACAAUGGGCGCAAGCCUGAUCCAGCCAUACCGCGUGGGUGAAGGAGGCCUUCGGGUUGUAAAGCCCUUUUGUUGGGAAAGAAAAGCAGCAGGUUAAUACCCCGCUGUUCUGACGGUACCCAAAGAAUAAGCACCGGCUAACUUCGUG